This 468-nucleotide ribosomal RNA is filed under the name uncultured bacterium. RNAcentral's name for it is "partial 16S ribosomal RNA". It matches the Rfam family "Bacterial small subunit ribosomal RNA", at positions 28 to 507 of the family's 1533-position model. The record is from RNAcentral.
GACGAACGCUGGCGGCGUGCUUAACACAUGCAAGUCGAACGGAAAGGCCCUGCUUUUGUGGGGUGCUCGAGUGGCGAACGGGUGAGUAACACGUGAGUAACCUGCCCUUGACUUUGGGGUAACUUCAGGAAACUGGGGCUAAUACCGGAUAGGAGCUCCUGCUGCAUGGUGGGGGUUGGAAAGUUUCGGCGGUUGGGGCUGGACUCGCGGCUUAUCCGCUUGUUGGUGGGGUAGUGGCUUACCAAGGCUUUGACGGGUAGCCGGCCUGAGAGGGUGACCGGCCACAUUGGGCCUGAGAUACGGCCCAGACUCCUACGGGAGGCAGCAGUGGGGAAUAUUGCACAAUGGGCGGAAGCCUGAUGCAGCAACGCCGCGUGCGGGAUGACGGCCUUCGGGUUGUAAACCGCUUUCGCCUGUGACGAAGCGUGAGUAACGGUAAUGGGUAAAGAAGCACCGGCUAACUACGUG